UGGGGAAUUUUGGACAAUGGGCGCAAGCCUGAUCCAGCCAUGCCGCGUGCGGGAAGAAGGCCUUCGGGUUGUAAACCGCUUUUGUCAGGGAAGAAAUCUUCUGAGUUAAUACCUCGGGAGGAUGACGGUACCUGAAGAAUAAGCACCGGCUAACUACGUGCCAGCAGCCGCGGUAAUACGUAGGGUGCAAGCGUUAAUCGGAAUUACUGGGCGUAAAGCGUGCGCAGGCGGUUUUGUAAGACAGAGGUGAAAUCCCCGGGCUCAACCUGGGAACUGCCUUUGUGACUGCAAGGCUUGAGUGCGGCAGAGGGGGAUGGAAUUCCGCGUGUAGCAGUGAAAUGCGUAGAUAUGCGGAGGAACACCGAUGGCGAAGGCAAUCCCCUGGGCCUGCACUGAGGCU
Molecule: ribosomal RNA, 400 nt
Filed under: uncultured bacterium
Lineage: Bacteria
Description: partial 16S ribosomal RNA
Rfam family: Bacterial small subunit ribosomal RNA
Source: RNAcentral